GGACCAAGGAGUCUAGCAUAUGCGCAAGUCAUUGGGACAUUUUAAUAAACCUAAAGGCAUAAUGAAAGUGAAUAAUUAUAAAUUUUCGUAAUUUAUAAUUUUUAGGGAAGAUGAUUAAUGUUUUAUAUAUAUUAAUCCGCAUUCCCGGGGCGUCGCGUACUUAUUGCAAGUUGCGGCGCACCAAGAGCGUAUACGCUGGGACCC
Molecule: ribosomal RNA, 204 nt
Filed under: Homethes elegans
Lineage: Eukaryota; Metazoa; Arthropoda; Insecta; Coleoptera; Carabidae
Description: partial 28S ribosomal RNA
Rfam family: Eukaryotic large subunit ribosomal RNA
Source: RNAcentral